UUUUCCAUCUCCCUUUCCCCUUUUCCAAUCAAACAGCACCGCCAAUCGAUCCCAAAUACUCUGACGAACUUUCCCUUGCAACCCCGACAUCGGAUCUCACCGGAUCCGGUCACCAGUCGUCGCACCACUCCUUCUUCCUUUUUUUCGGUGUUCAAACAACCACAAAUGGUUGAUUGCCACUGCCGAAACUAACCAGCCACCCCCCUCUCUCCUUUUCUCACCGCUGGCAGCC
RNAcentral lists this long non-coding RNA (232 nucleotides) under Capsicum annuum. RNAcentral's name for it is "long non-coding RNA (CANN_LNC014250)". The record is from RNAcentral. Lineage: Eukaryota; Viridiplantae; Streptophyta; Magnoliopsida; Solanales; Solanaceae.